This 250-nucleotide ribosomal RNA is filed under the name uncultured bacterium. RNAcentral describes it as "partial 16S ribosomal RNA". It matches the Rfam family "Bacterial small subunit ribosomal RNA", at positions 524 to 773 of the family's 1533-position model. The record is from RNAcentral.
UACGAAGGGGGCUAGCGUUGUUCGGAUUUACUGGGCGUAAAGCGCACGUAGGCGGAUUGGUCAGUUAGGGGUGAAAUCCCAGAGCUCAACUCUGGAACUGCCUCUAAUACUGCCAGUCUAGAGUCCGGAAGAGGUAAGUGGAACUCCUAGUGUAGAGGUGGAAUUCGUAGAUAUUAGGAAGAACACCAGUGGCGAAGGCGGCUUACUGGUCCGGUACUGACGCUGAGGUGCGAAAGCGUGGGGAGCAAAC